AGAAGCAGCCACCAUUUAAAGAGUGCGUAAUAGCUCACUGGUCGAGAGACGCUGCGCCGAAAAUGUCCGGGGCUCAAGCACGGAACCGAAGCUAUGGCAUGAUAGCAAUAUCAUGGGUAGGGGAGCGUUCUUAUAAGGAAGAAGCAUGACCGGAAGGACAUGUGGACGAAUAAGAAGUGAGAAUGCCGGUAUGAGUAUCGAAAAGAAAGGUGAGAAUCCUUUCCACCGAAAGCCCGAGGGUUCCUGAGCAACGAUCGUCGACUCAGGGUAAGUCGGGACCUAAGCCGAGGCGAGAAGCGUAGGCGAUGGACAACAGGUUGAAAUUCCUGUACCGGAUCAAGUCGAUCGAGCGAAGGAGCGACGCAGGAGGGCACAUGAUCGCGCGGCUGGAAGAGCGCGUCCAAGUGCGUAUGUUGCAGCAGAGGAAAACCCCUGCAGCUAAAAGCAGAGACAUGAUGGGGAGUUAAAGGAAACUUUGACGAACUCAUGAAUCCCACACUGCCAAGAAAAACUUCUAGCGAGACAAGAUCCGCCCGUACCGUAAACCGACACAGGUAGGCGGGGAGAGAAUCCUAAGGUGCGCGGGAAAACCCUCGUUAAGGAACUCGGCAAAUUGCAUCCGUAACCUAGGGAGAAGGAUGGCCCCCGGUCAGUGAAGAGCAGAAACGCUCAGAGCUAAAAGGGGCGGCAGAAAAGAGGCCCAAGCAACUGUUUACCAAAAACACAGGUGCCUGCGAAAGCGAAAGCUGAAGUAUAGGUGCUGACGCCUGCCCGGUGCCGGAAGGUUAAGGAGAGAAGUUAGCGAAAGCGAAGCAUCGAACUGAAGCCCCGGUGAACGGCGGCCGUAACUAUAACGGUCCUAAGGUAGCGAAAUUCCUUGUCGGGUAAGUUCCGACCCGCAUGAAAGGCGUAAUGAUUUGGGCACUGUCUCAACGAGGGGCCCGGUGAAAUUGAAAUACCUGUGAAGAUGCAGGUUACCCGCGACUGGACAGAAAGACCCCAUGGAGCUUCACUGCAGCUUGAGAUUGAAUCCCGGUGACAGAUGCACAGGAUAGGUGGGAGGCGUCGAAGCAUUGCCCUAGGGCGGUGCGGAGCCGAUGUUGGGAUACCACCCUUCUGUUGCUGAGAUUCUAACGCGAGGAGUAACGACCCUGCGGACCCUCUCAGGCAGGCGGUUUGACUGGGGCGGUCGCCUCCGAAAGAGUAACGGAGGCGCCCAAAGGUUCCCUCAGGCCGGACAGAAACCGGCCGAAGAGUGCAAAGGCAGAAGGGAGCUUGACUGCGAGACCAACAAGUCGAGCAGGGACGAAAGUCGGGCUUAGUGAUCCGGUGGUACUGGGUGGAAAGGCCAUCGCUCAACGGAUAAAAGCUACCCUGGGGAUAACAGGCUAAUCUCUCCCAAGAGUUCAUAUCGACGGGGAGGUUUGGCACCUCGAUGUCGGCUCAUCACAUCCUGGGGCUGGAGUAGGUCCCAAGGGUUGGGCUGUUCGCCCAUUAAAGUGGUACGCGAGCUGGGUUCA
RNAcentral lists this ribosomal RNA (1520 nucleotides) under human gut metagenome. Its description in RNAcentral is "bacterial LSU rRNA". It matches the Rfam family "Bacterial large subunit ribosomal RNA", at positions 1108 to 2613 of the family's 2925-position model. The record is from RNAcentral.